This is an unclassified non-coding RNA of Phascolarctos cinereus (koala), 301 nucleotides long. It matches the Rfam family "Metazoan signal recognition particle RNA". Rfam says of the family: The signal recognition particle (SRP) is a universally conserved ribonucleoprotein. It is involved in the co-translational targeting of proteins to membranes. The record is from Ensembl. NCBI's taxonomy places the organism in Eukaryota, Metazoa, Chordata, Mammalia, Diprotodontia, Phascolarctidae.
GCUGGGUAUGGUGACAUACACCUAUAAUCCCAGAGCCCAGGGAGGCUGAGGCUGGUGGAUCUCUUGAGCUCAGGAGUUCUGAGCUAUAGUGGACCAUGCUGGUUGGGAAUCUGAACUAAGAUUGGCAUCAAUAUGGUGAACCUCUGUGAUUGUGGAGCUACAAGGUUGCCUAAGGAAGGGUGAAUCAGACCAACUCAGAAAUGGAGCAAGUCAAAGUUCCCAUGCCAAUCAGGAGUAGAAUUAGGCCUCUGAGUAGCUCAAGCACUUCUAGGCUGAGUGAGAUAGGGAGAUACCAGUCUUU